Molecule: ribosomal RNA, 156 nt
Filed under: Triticum aestivum (bread wheat)
Lineage: Eukaryota; Viridiplantae; Streptophyta; Magnoliopsida; Poales; Poaceae
Also listed under: 1 other name
Description: rRNA 5_8S_rRNA
Rfam family: 5.8S ribosomal RNA
About the family: 5.8S ribosomal RNA (5.8S rRNA) is a component of the large subunit of the eukaryotic ribosome.
Source: RNAcentral
AACUCUCGGCAACUGAUAUCUCGGCUCUCGCAUCGAUGAAGAACGUAGCGAAAUGCAAUACCUGGUGUGAAUUGCAGAAUCCCGCAAACCAUCAAGUCUUUGAAUGCAAGUUGUGCCCGAGGCCACUCGGCCGAGGGCACGCCUGCAUGGGCAUCA